CUCUUGUUCUGCUGCCUCCAAUCUAGAGGAGACAGGGAACUCCUGUACAACUCCCUUGGCUCCUCUCUGUCAGAAAUGUGUUUACUUCUGCUUACUUCUCCCAUUCUUCUCAGUUGUUCUCUUUUAAUAGUGCAGCAUCCCCUUUAAUCAUGGAUUUGAUCUUGGAAGAACUAAAUCUUAUGUAUCUAAAAAGAGCUGAGUGAGGUGAUGUCCCUUGUCACAAUACUCACUUGCAUUUGCAAGAGCAAUAAACACAGUAUUUAAAAUAUUCUCGGGUAUGAAUGUACAUCAUAUCUUCUGUUUCACAGUUAUUUCUUAUACUUGUGCUAUUACUUCAUACUUACUGCAAAGUAACUCACUCCUCUUUUGUGAACUUUAGGGCGAUGCUUCGCGUAUGUACUGUCUAUACGUGAAAUCGGCCUCUCUCUGCUGUUGGCUUCUGUGAUCAUUUCCAUGUAAUAUAUUUUGAUUAUCUGAUCCAAAUCUCUUAGGUGAAAAGCCAUCAAUAGUUCUUCAAGUCAAGCAUUUUUUCUCCCUUAGUUCUAUCACCAGUGUGCUUCCUUGGAAAAGUUUUGUGUGUAUUUUGCAUAGCCAGCAUGCUUUAACUGUCUUGUCUCUCUCCUAAAUGGAAGCGUGCUGUAUCCUUACAUUGCCUUAUAGGCCUCAAGUCAGCCCUGGAGUUCUGCAGCGUUGUUUGAAUUGGUCCUGCCUCUGGCAUACCUUGUCUCCAGGAUACACUGUACACAUUCUUUGCCCAGCUUCAAAUGUCUUCACCGAAUGGGUGUCUCAUGGCACCUUUCCAUAUGGCUUGCACUAACACAUAUUUCUCAUAAGAGUUGCUGCUCCUAUAUUUUUGCUGCAUGGCCACCAAAAAUAACAAGGUAUUUGGAAAAAUAUGCACGAUUCAUGACAAUCUCCUCUUUAAGAAUAGGCUGCUUGUCCUUCCACCUGCUUUACCUGCCUCUUGUCGGAUGAGGGACUUGCUGGAGGGUGUGCAAGCUGCUUCCUUCCAAAAGGCAUUAAGUUUUGGAGAAGAGGACAGGACAGAGACCAAGCUGGGAUGUCAUUUUUUUCAUAUAACUGUUCACAUCCUCUGCCAGCUGGGUUGGAGAAGUGUUUUGUCCAUUUGCUGUUUCUGCCAGCAUCCAAGAUGUUGAAGAAUUCCCUGACUUUCAGCACGGUUCUCUUGGAAAUAUUCCAAUCAUUUUCAAAAUGAAAAGCAGAGCAGAUCUUCUUCCUAAAUUCCCGAUUUUGCAGAAUUACCCAAAAUGUGGUGGGCACUCAGCAUAUUGCGAAGUGCCAUUUCCAAUAAAGCUUAGCCUUUUAAAUUGAUUUUGUUAUCA
RNAcentral lists this long non-coding RNA (1343 nucleotides) under Numida meleagris (helmeted guineafowl). RNAcentral describes it as "lncRNA (ENSNMEG00000006089.1)". The record is from RNAcentral. Lineage: Eukaryota; Metazoa; Chordata; Aves; Galliformes; Numididae.